This 480-nucleotide ribosomal RNA is filed under the name uncultured bacterium. RNAcentral describes it as "bacterial SSU rRNA". It matches the Rfam family "Bacterial small subunit ribosomal RNA", at positions 1 to 526 of the family's 1533-position model. The record is from RNAcentral.
ACUAGCAGUAAGAGUUUGAUCCUGGCUCAGAGCGAACGCUGGCGGCAGGCCUAAUACAUGCAAGUCGAACGCACCUUCGGGUGAGUGGCGGACGGGUGAGUAACGCGUGGGAACGUGCCCUUUGGUACGGAACAACUGAGGGAAACUUCAGCUAAUACCGUAUGUGCCCUUCGGGGGAAAGAUUUAUCGCCAUUGGAGCGGCCCGCGUUGGAUUAGCUAGUUGGUGGGGUAAAAGCCUACCAAGGCUACGAUCCAUAGCUGGUCUGAGAGGAUGAUCAGCCACACUGGGACUGAGACACGGCCCAGACUCCUACGGGAGGCAGCAGUAGGGAAUCUUGCGCAAUGGGCGAAAGCCUGACGCAGCCAUGCCGCGUGAAUGAUGAAGGUCUUAGGAUUGUAAAAUUCUUUCACCGGGGAAGAUAAUGACGGUACCCGGAGAAGAAGCCCCGGCUAACUACGUGCCAGCCGCCGCGGUAAUUC